UGUGUAGUGAACUCCGGAUGUAUCUCUUAAAAGGUUAAGGGCACAAACGGAGACGUUCGGCUACUUCUGUCUGGGCAACCCGGCGUCCAAAAUGUGCUGGUCUCGGGGGGGUCCUGGGGAAACGAUCGCGGGCACUAUCCGACGCCCCCAAACUAGGGCCCAACUAUGACUCCAGCUUGGUACGCUGAACAGCGCCACAAACAAGUAGCGAAUGGGAAUGGUAUGUUUCAGUAGACAUAAUCGAAAGUGUGAAAGUCGCGGGUUCCAGGGCAGGUCACGCCCAGGCUCGUGCGGUACUACGCUGUAGAUAGGGCCUCUAUCCGACAGUCAAACCAUUUACGCAUAUUUAGUGAACCAUCCGUGAGUUCCUACACA
This 375-nucleotide ribosomal RNA is filed under the name Anopheles annularis. Its description in RNAcentral is "bacterial LSU rRNA". The record is from RNAcentral. Lineage: Eukaryota; Metazoa; Arthropoda; Insecta; Diptera; Culicidae.